RNAcentral lists this ribosomal RNA (74 nucleotides) under Cordyceps grylli. Its description in RNAcentral is "partial 26S ribosomal RNA". It matches the Rfam family "Eukaryotic large subunit ribosomal RNA", at positions 1 to 73 of the family's 3401-position model. The record is from RNAcentral. Lineage: Eukaryota; Fungi; Ascomycota; Sordariomycetes; Hypocreales; Cordycipitaceae.
UUGACCUCGGAUCAGGUAGGACUACCCGCUGAACUUAAGCAUAUCAAUAAGCGGAGGAAAAGAAACCAACAGGG